GAUUUGGAUAUCUGACAUCUACUAUAUAAUAUUUUUUUGCAUAAUUUAUUACAAUUCACUGUAACUGAUAGAAGUAAAUCAUUACUAAUCAAAUAUGGAUAGUGAAAUAAACCUUAAGGUGAAUGAGGAAACUCUUAUAUAGAUCUUCUAAUUGCCUUAUAGAAAAUAUGAGUGUUAUGAGUUGUACCCUCCCAUCCUGUCCAAAUAUAUAUAAAUUCUAUUGCUGCUCGUUUCGGC
This 237-nucleotide long non-coding RNA is filed under the name Elaeis guineensis (African oil palm). Its description in RNAcentral is "long non-coding RNA (EGUI_LNC037864)". Lineage: Eukaryota; Viridiplantae; Streptophyta; Magnoliopsida; Arecales; Arecaceae. The record is from RNAcentral.